This 1394-nucleotide long non-coding RNA is filed under the name Mus spicilegus (steppe mouse). RNAcentral describes it as "lncRNA (ENSMSIG00000025859.1)". Lineage: Eukaryota; Metazoa; Chordata; Mammalia; Rodentia; Muridae. The record is from RNAcentral.
CUUUACUCUUGCCAAGAUUGUUUAAUAAGUAACCCACACACGCUAACUGCUCUAGAAGCAAGCACCUAACUUAUUCCAGGAAACCCGACCUGCUAGUCCAACAGGCGCCCCCCUCUGGAGAAAUAGGGGCUACCCCAAGCCACCUGUUCUCGGGCAGAUGAAAACCAAAACAGUGCUCUGGCCGCAUCUGCCAUUUGGACUGCGUAGUCAUGGCUUGCUUUUUCUGCAUCGUGGCGAAAAAUUUGGGUCUUAAACUUGGAGCCUUAGGUGAAGUCAGAAGCCCACGAACAUUUCACAGCGGAUCACGACGCCACCAUUUCCAGGCAAAGUCUUUACCCUUCCCAGGGCCCUGCUGGUUUCCUUCACGCCGGCAGCAGCUUCUGGAGCCGGAGAAAAAGAGUGAGCUCCUCCAGCCAGAGCAGCGAUGCUUGCAGAUUCACGCGAGGGGUUUCUGACCAGCACGCGUGACUCCAGAUGCAGCGACCACGGCUCUGGUGCGGCCCCCACAUGCACCCAGCGCGCCGCGCAGCUCGCCCGGGCGCCACUGCAACUCACUGGCUCAGAGCGGAGUCCCCUGGUGGCCUUCUCUGGAAAGGCAGCUACGCGGGGGCAAGAGGAGUCGUGUUGCCUGUAGGAUCCUCUAAUCUCCACAAGAGCCUGAGACAAUGAGCAGUCUAAGUCUCUCAACUUUGAUCCGCUGCCCAAUGUAGGUAGAAAGAUGUCAGAGUAGAAAAGAUGCUGCUGCCCUGGUUGGUCUUUGUCAACUUGACACAACCUUGAUAUAUUUAGGAGGGAAUUUUGACUGAAAAAAAAAAAAACCUCAUAAAAUACCCUAUUAAUAAGUCUGUCCAGCAUUUUCUUGAUUAAUGACUGUGGGUUGUGCCAGUGUUGGGCAGGUAGUGCUGGUGGGUAUAAGAAAGCGCCUCGCGUGGAUCUACAAGCAUCGCUGCUCCGGCUGGAGGAGCUUACUCUUUAUCUCCUGUCCCAGAAGCUGUUGCCUGUGAGAAGGAAGCCAGCAGGGCCCUAGGUGGAAGGUUAAAAUCCCAUGAGAAGCAAGCCAGCCAGCAGCAUUCCUCCAUGGCGUCUGCUUCAGUUCCUGAUUCCAGGUAACUGCCUUGAGUUCCUGUUCUGACUUCCCUUUGCGGCGGACUGUGCAUAAACCACAUAAGCCCUUGCCUCCUCCAGUUGCUUCUGGUCAUGCUAUUUUAUCACAGCCAUAGACACCCCAACUGAAGUCCACAAGAGCUUUUUCCAAGGCAUCCAGAAAGGGCCAAACGACUUACACUUCUCCAAAAUGUUCUGCCAGUUGUAAAAUGCCGUGGACUGCCUGAAACACCUUGGAAAGCAGCAUUAAACCAAGACAAAAAUGCUUGGAAGUCGUAACUACCUCGCCG